AUAGUCAAAGCUUUUAAGUGUUAAAAGUUAAAUUUUGGGUGUAUUUUUGAACUUAUAUUUAAAUAUUUUGGUACUGUUUGCAUGGUAACUAAAAUUUUCCUUCAGAAACCUCUGGUUCUUAGCCAUGUUCCAGUUUGUUCAUAACGUUCAGUAAUUUUCCACAUUUGGUAUAUAUAUAUGUUUGUUUGGUAUCUACUGCCCUAGUGCUGAUGGUCAUAAUUGUGAUACUUCAGGU
Molecule: long non-coding RNA, 235 nt
Filed under: Mytilus galloprovincialis (Mediterranean mussel)
Lineage: Eukaryota; Metazoa; Mollusca; Bivalvia; Mytilida; Mytilidae
Source: RNAcentral